GUUUUUGAUGAAGGAAUAACACCAUAGGAUGACGUUAAGAUCUAAAAAGUCGAUUUUACACAACGUUGGCCCUUUAAAGUGCAGAGAGAUUGGCUUGGACUGUAAGCAAAUAAGACACAAAACCAGAUGACCCUUAAUUUCCAGGCAUGAUUUAUUGAAAACACACCAAAUUUAUACUCUACAAACCAGUAUUUUUCCAUUAUGUUUGACAAGCGUAAUAUUUGCCUCUGGGUAUUAGUAAAAUUAACAUAUUACAUUCUGUCACUGUGGCAUCGCUCCUGCUCGCUACGAAAGCUCCGACGGCUUUACUUCUCUAGGAAAUCAAACCCAUUUGUCAAAUGCUCUCUACCUCAUUAAAAGUUUAUAUUACAAUGUAAAUCAAGGCAGCAACCCGCCAACAGUCUAAACUACUUAGGAGGGGGACAGUGAGGUGGAAGCUGGGGUAGAGGGGCCUGGAUGGAUGGAUGGAUGGAUGGAUGGAUUGAUGGAUGGAUUGAUGAGCUGAAUGGCGGUGGUCAGGGAGGGUUGGGGGUCUGACACUAGGGGUUAGAACCCCUUUCCACAA
Molecule: long non-coding RNA, 565 nt
Organism: Poecilia latipinna (sailfin molly)
Lineage: Eukaryota; Metazoa; Chordata; Actinopteri; Cyprinodontiformes; Poeciliidae
Exons: 3
Source: RefSeq, a predicted model, not a curated record